This 1372-nucleotide ribosomal RNA is filed under the name uncultured Roseobacter sp. RNAcentral's name for it is "bacterial SSU rRNA". It matches the Rfam family "Bacterial small subunit ribosomal RNA". Lineage: Bacteria; Pseudomonadati; Pseudomonadota; Alphaproteobacteria; Rhodobacterales; Roseobacteraceae. The record is from RNAcentral.
UAAUACAUGCAAGUCGAGCGCAUCCUUCGGGAUGAGCGGCGGACGGGUGAGUAACGCGUGGGAAUAUGCCCUUCUCUAAGGAAUAGCCUCGGGAAACUGAGAGUAAUACCUUAUACGCCCUUCGGGGGAAAGAUUUAUCGGAGAGGGAUUAGCCCGCGUUAGAUUAGGUAGUUGGUGGGGUAAUGGCCUACCAAGCCUACGAUCUAUAGCUGGUUUGAGAGGAUGAUCAGCCACACUGGGACUGAGACACGGCCCAGACUCCUACGGGAGGCAGCAGUAGGGAAUCUUAGACAAUGGGGGAAACCCCUGAUCUAGCCAUGCCGCGUGUGUGAUGAAAGGCUUUAGGGUCGUAAAGCACUUUCGCCAGAGAUGAUAAUGACAGUAUCUGGUAAAGAAACCCCGGCUAACUCCGUGCCAGCAGCCGCGGGUAAUACGGAGGGGGUUAGCGUUGUUCGGAAUUACUGGGCGUAAAGCGCACGUAGGCGGAUUAGUAAGUUAGAGGUGAAAUCCCAGGGCUCAACCCUGGAACUGCCUUUAAUACUGCUAGUCUUGAGUUCGAGAGAGGUAAGUGGAAUUCCGAGUGUAGAGGUGAAAUUCGUAGAUAUUCGGAGGAACACCAGUGGCGAAGGCGGCUUACUGGCUCGAUACUGACGCUGAGGUGCGAAAGUGUGGGGAGCAAACAGGAUUAGAUACCCUGGUAGUCCACACCGUAAACGAUGAAUGCCAGACGUCAGCAAGUAUACUUGUUGGUGUCACACCUAACGGAUUAAGCAUUCCGCCUGGGGAGUACGGUCGCAAGAUUAAAACUCAAAGGAAUUGACGGGGGGCCCGCACAAAGCGGUGGAGCAUGUGGUUUAAUACGACGCAACGCGCAGAAACCUUACCAGCCCUUGACAUCCUGUGCUACUACCAGAGAUGGUACGUUCCCUUCGGGGACGCAGUGGCAGGUGCUGCAUGGCUGUCGUCAGCUCGUGUCGUGAGAUGUUCGGUUAAGUCCGGCAACGAGCGCAACCCACAUCUUUAGUUGCCAUCAGGUUAUGCUGGGCACUCUAGAGAAACUGCCCGUGAUAAGCGGGAGGAAGGUGUGGAUGACGUCAAGUCCUCAUGGCCCUUACGGGUUGGGCUACACACGUGCUACAAUGGCAGUGACAAUGGGUUAAUCCCAAAAAGCUGUCUCAGUUCGGAUUGGGGUCUGCAACUCGACCCCAUGAAGUCGGAAUCGCUAGUAAUCGCGUAACAGCAUGACGCGGUGAAUACGUUCCCGGGCCUUGUACACACCGCCCGUCACACCAUGGGAGUUGGUUCUACCCGACGACGCUGCGCUAACCCUUCGGGGAGGCAGGCGGCCACGGUAGGAUCAGCGACUGGGGUG